This 988-nucleotide long non-coding RNA is filed under the name Mytilus galloprovincialis (Mediterranean mussel). Lineage: Eukaryota; Metazoa; Mollusca; Bivalvia; Mytilida; Mytilidae. The record is from RNAcentral.
GACACUAUCAUUCUGGUACAGGAUUGUGUAAAUGUUCGCUAACGUCGCCAACGUCGCCAACAUUUACGAAAUCAUUACUGUUCGCCAACGUCGCCAACGUCGCCAACAUUUAUGAAAUCAAUACUGUUCGCCAACGUCGCCAACGUCGCCAACAUUUAUGAAAUCAAUACUGUUCGCCAACGUCGCCAACGUCGCCAACAUUUACAAACUCAUUACUGUUCGCCAACGUCGCCAACGUCGCCAACAUUUAUGAAAUCAAUACUGUUCGCCAACGUCGCCAACGUCGCCAACAUUUACAAACUCAUUACUGUUCGCCAACGUCGCCAAUUUAUGAAAUCAAUACUGUUCGCCAACGUCGCCAACGUCGCCAACAUUUACAAACUCAUUACUGUUCGCCAACGUCGCCAACAUUUACAAACUCAUUACUGUUCGCCGACGUCGACAACAUUUACGAACUCAUUACUGUUCGCCAACGUCUCCAACGUCGCCAACAUUUAUGAAAUCAAUACUGUUCGCCAACGUCGCCAAUGUCGCCAACAUUUACAAACUCAUUACUGUUCGUCAAUGUCGCCAACGUCGCCAACGUUACCAACAUUUAUGAAAUCAACACUGUUCGCCAACAUCGCCAACGUCGCCAACAUUUACAAACUCAUUACUGUUCGUUAUUGUCGCAAACGUCGUUAACAUUUACGAAAUCAUUACUAAUGACUGUUCGCCAAUGUCGCCAACAUUCAGGAAAACAUUACUGUUCACCAGUGUCGCUAUCAUUGCCAACCUUUACGAAACCUGUACUGUUCACUAACAUUUACUGUUCGCCAAGUGUGCGUCAACUUCAUUGUUCGCCAACCUUAACAUAAUAAUUAUUGUUUACCAAGUUCGCCAACAUUGUUUUAAAUGUAAUGUUGGCCAACUUACUGAAGUUUGCCAACUUAGCCAAGUUCGCCAACAUUUAUUUUUGUAUCUUUUUAUAUUCACCAACAUUUCCAAC